GAUGAAGAACGUAGUGAAAUGCGAUAAGUAAUGUGAAUUGCAGAAUUCAGUGAAUCAUCGAAUCUUUGAACGCACAUUGCGCCCGCCAGUAUUCUGGCGGGCAUGCCUGUUCGAGCGUCAUUUCAACCAUCAAGCCCCAGGCUUGUGUUGGGGACCUGCGGCUGCCGCAGGCCCUGAAAACCAGUGGCGGGCUCGCUGUCACACCGGGCGUAGUAGAUUUUAUCUCGCUCAGGGCGUGCUGCGGGUUCCGGCCGUUAAAAAGCCUUUUUUACCCAGGUUGACCUCGGAUCAGGUAGGAAGACCCGCUGAACUUAAGCAUAUCAAUAAGCGGAGGA
RNAcentral lists this unclassified non-coding RNA (335 nucleotides) under soil metagenome. RNAcentral's name for it is "partial contains 5.8S ribosomal RNA, internal transcribed spacer 2, and large subunit ribosomal RNA". The stretch from base 1 to 120 matches the Rfam family "5.8S ribosomal RNA", at positions 35 to 154 of the family's 154-position model. The record is from RNAcentral.